Molecule: ribosomal RNA, 442 nt
Filed under: uncultured bacterium
Lineage: Bacteria
Description: partial 16S ribosomal RNA
Rfam family: Bacterial small subunit ribosomal RNA
Source: RNAcentral
CCUACGGGAGGCAGCAGUGGGGAAUAUUUGGCAAUGGGCGCAAGCCUGACCCAGCAACGCCGCGUGAAGGAAGAAGGCUUUCGGGUUGUAAACUUCUUUUGACAGGGAAGAGUAGAAGACGGUACCUGUCGAAUAAGCCCCGGCUAACUACGUUCCAGCAACCCCCGUAAUACGUAGGUGGCAAGCGUUGUCCGGAUCUACUGGGUGGAAAGGGCGUGUAGCCGGGUUGACAAGUCAGAUGUGAAAUCCUGCGGCUUAACCGCAGAACUGCAUUUGAAACUGUUGAUCUUGAGUACUGGAGAGGCAGACGGAAUUCCUAGUGUAGCGGUGAAAUGCGUAGAUAUUAGGAGGAACACCAGUGGCGAAGGCGGUCUGCUGGACAGCAACUGACGGUGAGGCGCGAAAGCGUGGGGAGCAAACAGGAUUAGAUACCCUUGUAGUC